AAGUGCAUAGAAUUAUUGCUGCGGUUAAAAAGCUCGUAGUUGGAUCUGUGCCAUAGGACGUGGUCCACCUUCGGGUGCGUACUACGCUCCUAGGCUUUUUGCUGGUUUUCCCGUCGUAGCCUUCACUGGUUGCGGCGGGUGGCUGGCGAGUUUACUUUGAGAAAAUCAGAGUGCUCAAUACAGGCGUAUCGCUUGAAUGAUUGUGCAUGGAAUAAUAGAAAAGGAUUUCGGUCCUCUUUUAUUGGUUUUGUGGACUGAGAUAAUGGUUAACAGGGACAAACGGGGGCAUUCGUAUCUCUGCGUGAGAGGUGAAAUUCUUGGACCGUAGAGAGACGCCCUACUG
RNAcentral lists this ribosomal RNA (343 nucleotides) under uncultured eukaryote. RNAcentral's name for it is "SSU rRNA". It matches the Rfam family "Eukaryotic small subunit ribosomal RNA", at positions 595 to 945 of the family's 1831-position model. The record is from RNAcentral.